RNAcentral lists this transfer RNA (70 nucleotides) under Bombylius sp. RNAcentral's name for it is "tRNA-Phe". It matches the Rfam family "tRNA". Rfam says of the family: Transfer RNA (tRNA) molecules are approximately 80 nucleotides in length. Their secondary structure includes four short double-helical elements and three loops (D, anti-codon, and T loops). The record is from RNAcentral. Lineage: Eukaryota; Metazoa; Arthropoda; Insecta; Diptera; Bombyliidae.
AUUCAAAUAGCUUAUAUUUAGAGCAUAGCACUGAAGAUGCUAGGGAGAUAAUAAUUACUAUCUUUGAAUA